CGGAGACGUCGGCGGGGG
Molecule: non-coding RNA, 18 nt
Filed under: Arabidopsis thaliana (thale cress)
Lineage: Eukaryota; Viridiplantae; Streptophyta; Magnoliopsida; Brassicales; Brassicaceae
Source: RNAcentral